GAUCAUGGCUCAGGACGAACGCUGGCGGCGCGCCUAACACAUGCAAGUCGAACGGAGGCUAUAUUGAAAGCUUGCUGGAUAUAUAGCUUAGUGGCGGACGGGUGAGUAACACGUGAGCAACCUGCCUUUCAGAGUGGAAUAACGUUUGGAAACGAACGCUAAUACCGCAUAAUGUCAGAAGAUGGCAUCGUCUUUUGACCAAAGAUUUAUCGCUGAAAGAUGGGCUCGCGGG
Molecule: ribosomal RNA, 232 nt
Filed under: uncultured bacterium
Lineage: Bacteria
Description: partial 16S ribosomal RNA
Rfam family: Bacterial small subunit ribosomal RNA
Source: RNAcentral